CCAGAGCACGAUCGUUGUUUUGGGUAUGUGGUGCCCCUCCGCCAUCCCACCCGCUCCUAACACCUCGCACUGUGCAGCGUAGACGCAAAGGCGAACUUGCUCGCUUUCUCGGUGGCGAGCUCGCUGCAGAAUGCCACCGCCGCCGCCACUGCCAUCCUCCGCCUCGUCCUCCGCCCAACCGCGGUCGUCUACCCGCAAGCCAGCAUGCCAGCCGCUCAGCAUCGAUGAUGUCACCAUUGACUUCUCCGCCGUCGCGGCGAGCAGCGGCGGGGCCACGGCCUCCACGUCCGCUGCGUCUGGAGCAAACCCCAGUCUCCUCGAUAUUAUGGCAACGCAGCAGCAGGAGCACGAUGGGGACGGGGGUGCCCAGCAUCGCGGCGGUGGCCGCCGUUACCAGGGCGUGUCGGACGUUCGCGCCUUCGACCCAGGCCUGCAGGGCGUCAUGCAGCGGUACACCAGCAGGGUCGCCAACGCAGCGGGCUCCGUUGGCGGCGGCCCGGCCCGACGCAGAAAGAUCGUCUUCGGUGCGCAGCAGCAGCAGCAGCAGCAGCAGCACGCAUCUGCAGAGGAGCCAGCGCCGCAGACUCCCUCGACGGCACACUCCGUCGAACCUGUACCGCCGUCGUCCCUCGAGGCCUCUCAAGCAGCGCUUGACUUCCUCGUAAAGGCGCAGCAGCAGCAGCAGCAGCAGCAGCAGCAGACCUCCGCGGCGGCGUUGCAGCAACGCCGCGACGCCUACCUGGCACAGCUACGCUCUUUUUGCCAGCGCGGACGCGGCGCGGACGGCCACCGCGCCGGCAGCGCGCAUGCCGAGGCGCCGGCCACGGCGUUCCCUGACGGCGGCAAUGCGCAGACCAACUCGCUUCUGCGGCAAAUCUUCGCGGACGGCGUCCCCGACAUUGAGCCGUGGGACCGCUGGACCUCGACGAUGCCGCGCUACGGCAGCGCCAGCAACAGCGGCGGCGGCGCACACCUCGUCGUGUCGCCGCUGACGGCCACAGUGGCACAGAUCCGGGCGGCGCAGCUGGAUCUGGUGCAUCACCCCGUGAUUCCGGACACGCACUACACGCAGCACUACGAGUACCGUGACUUAGAGCACCCCGUUAUCCAGAAGGAGUACAAGACGAAAGAGCAGCUGCGUGCCGAGCGGCGGGAGCGACUCAAAGAAAAGCAGGCGAAGGCGCAGCAGAAGGCAGCGGCAGCCUCCGAUGCAGGGGCGUUGCACGAUACCACCAGUAGCAGCCGUGGUCCGACGGCGCUCGCCUCGUCGGCAGCGAGUCGCCUCCUGCACGACCGACUCUCCACGAAGAACCUUGCCCUGAACCUCUUCGGCUCCAGUGUGCUGAACCCGCUGGCGACAGACACGAAGGUGCUGGAGCAGUACGAGCUGCGCAACUUGGAGCACCAGCGGCGCAACCACGACCGUCACGUUGCCGCACUGCCGGAUCAAAUCCUGAAGCGCGCGCGCGAUCAGCGGCGCCACGCCACGGAGGCACCGCUGCUGCGCGCCUACCGCGUCUUCCCGAUCUUCUCCGCGGCCCACCUCGGCAAGCUGCGCAACUUCGCGAACGAUAACUUGCUGCGCGGCUUCGUGUUGUACGUUGGCGACUGCGACGCGGUGAUCGUCUUGGCCGGCGGCGAGGUGGCGGCGCGGCAUCUGGAUCGAUGGAUCAUGCACAAGAUGGCCUGGGAGCACCCCGACACGCGCGCCGUGCGGCUCUGCAGUGUGCCGCUGAUGGACGCAAGGAGCUUCUCCUUUCACCUGAAGAAGGCGCAAGGGCAGCCGCACAAGAGGACCAAGACGGCGGCCGGCAAGCGCGACGGCAGACUGGACGACGUGGACGGCGAUGACGCGGCAGAGCCGGUCUUCAUCAACAUGGUGCCCACCGUCGAGGAGGCGGAGGCGUUCCUGCGUCGGCUUCCCGCGCCGUCGAGCCCGUGGUCGGAUUUGUGUGGAGUGUGGCGCGCUGCCUUCUUGCAUGACGGACUUCAGCCCGCUACCGGAGGACAUCACUAAAGAGGCAAGCCGCGGGCGGUGAGAUGGCGUCGCUGGUGGUGGUGGUGGUGGUGGUGGUUCGAGCAUGCACACAUACACAGCUGGCAGUCUGACCUCUCUCACAACGGAUGCGACUUUCAGCAGCAGCAGCAGCAGCAGCGACAGCCCCUGUCAACCAACCACGCAAGCCGCCAUCUUUUCCUUUAGGAUGCGAUCACGCCUACUUAACCCCACCCCCUCUCUCUCUCUCUCUGAAACCUGUGGUGCAUGGCUACCAAGGCCCUCCCCAUCCU
This 2289-nucleotide unclassified non-coding RNA is filed under the name Leishmania donovani. RNAcentral describes it as "gene:LdHU3.01.0660(CDS-product:pre-mRNA_processin g_factor_3_(PRP3)/Protein_of_unknown_function_(DUF1115)_put ative)". The record is from RNAcentral. Lineage: Eukaryota; Euglenozoa; Kinetoplastea; Trypanosomatida; Trypanosomatidae.